Long non-coding RNA from Papaver somniferum (opium poppy), 1801 nucleotides. RefSeq lists it as uncharacterized. The transcript is spliced from 6 exons. The record is from RefSeq and is a predicted model, not a curated record. NCBI's taxonomy places the organism in Eukaryota, Viridiplantae, Streptophyta, Magnoliopsida, Ranunculales, Papaveraceae.
UCUAACAUAACUGCGCCUCUCUCUUUCUUCUUCCUCUUCUCCUCGAUUAUGAGCGAAGCUUUGGCAGAUUAUCCCCGAAAGUAGUUUCUUUAUUUCAUUUAUUUGUUUUUCAAUAGUAUUAUUCAGUCAUACAAAAGUUGAAGAGAGAAUUGUGGAGUAUUCUUCCUCUUAAGAGUUUAUAUGACUGAAUUCUACCAAACCCUAACCCUGAAUUACUCAAAUCACACACACAAUUGUACGUGUUUCAUUAUCUUCCCAACCCAUAGUUGUUCAGAUUUAGCCGUAUAACGAACCCAAUUUUCGUUUUACCUUCUUAAACCCUACUUUCGUCUUGUUUUUUCCCCUAUAGAAGUAUAAGGUAAUGAUCUUCCAACCUCCAAUUUUCCAUUUAUUCUUUAUUAUUAUCAAUAUCUUCACUAAACAUGUUAGCUCUAGAUGAUGUUUGCAGAUGUUUAUUAGUAAUUGAUGUUGUCCUGACCCUGACAAGCAGACAAGGUAAAGACCCUUCUCUUUUCAUUCAAUAACUCCAUCCAGAUCUGUAAUUAGAUCUAUGUUUUGAAGAUCCUUUCAUGUUGAAGAUUUAUGUUUAAGCUAGAAUGACUGGUUAUGGAAGUGGAUGGUCACCUCAUGCAAAUUUUCGUUGUGGUGUGGGAUGUUUCCAGUACUCUGGGAUGGUGUUGGUGGGUAGGUAUUGAGGGAGGAGGAUCAUGUUAGAAGGAGUGUUUUUUUGGUGCCUAUGGAGGAUUAAGAGGUGGUGGUGUGGAUACUGCAGGCGAUGGUGGACUAUCAAAGGCUGCUGUUGGAGGUAGAGGCAUAAGUGGUUGAGGUGAUGGUGGUGGGCAAUUCCCUCACAAAGAAUUUGUUAAAAGGCAUUUUGACCCAAACUAAUACGGAUGAUUCAUAAGAGAAGUGAGGAGCUUGUGCAUGCAGCUGGAUAGAGGUGGUCGCAAGCAGUAUUGUUAAUAAUGGUAUCUCAGGAUCUAGAGGACAUCAGUUUUCUGCUGCCAUAACUACUAGUGCAUACGCAGAUGAAUUUGACACUUCUGUUGCAAAACUGUACAUUUUAUCUUAAUCCAUCUCCACGAGUACGAAAAUGCGUUGUCGGUUUCGGGACCAUUAUAUGAGAAUACUGAUCCCCUUGAUGAGAUAACUGCUCUUCAUAUCUGCCUUCUGUUACUGGAUGUUCCAUUAGCCUCCAAUAAUGCAACAAAAGCUGCUGAAGUUUCUAUCCUUUAUGCCUUUCUAAUUGGAUUCUCGGGGUAUCAUCUAUUCUAUAUGAAGCGUUUAUGAAUAGUGAUGCAGAAAGCAUAUCCGACUUGGUUGUCGAAUUGGGUAGUCUGUGGUUCUCAGUUUGGUCUUUUGCUUUUUGAGGAGCUUCAGCUUGAAAUCAUAUAUUCUGUUUGAAGCGUUUAUGAAUAGUGAUGCAGAAAACACAUCAGACUUGGUUGCCAGAUUGGGUAGUCCGCGGUUUUCAGUUUGGUCUUUGCUUUUUGAGGAGCUUCAAGAAGAAAGCAGUUGCAUCUGCAUAUGUUGAUAGAGCAAGGCCUCCAAAUGAUGGUGAUUAUGACUGACGUUAUGCGAUAGAGUUGGAGUACUUGUUUCGAGAGGUGAAAUGAUUUGUGGCCAAAGCUUAUGCAGCUCCUGUAAGAGAGCGACCAAAUUAGAGUCGCAAGGUGACUGGAUCUAAUUAGUUUUAAUGUUCUAUAUGUAGCUUUAGGUUGCUAGUAUACUUUGGAUUUGUAAUCGGAGAUUAUAUUUCUUAUUUGUUAUUUUUGGUAAUUAGAAUUUUGUUUCAUAAUCA